GACGAACGCUGGCGGCGUGCCUAAUACAUGCAAGUCGAACGCAGUGGGGACGGGUGAGUAACACGUGGGUAACCUCCCAUCAGAGGGGAUAACACUUGGAAACAGGUGCUAAACCGAUACUGAUGGAUGGACCCGCGGUGCAUUAGCUAGUUGGUGAGGUAACGGCUCACCAAGGCCACGAGGCAUAGCAGACCUGAGAGGGGUAUCGGCCACACGGGGACUGAGAGACGAACCGGACUCCGCCGGGAGGCAGCAGUAGGGAAUCUUCGGCAAUGGAAGAAAGUCUGACCGAGCAACGCGGCGUGAGUGAAGAAGGUUUUCGGAUCGUAAAACUCUGUUGUUAGAGAAGAGGUAUCUAACCAGAAAGCCACGGCUAAAUACGUGCCAGCAGCCGCGGUAAUUC
Molecule: ribosomal RNA, 403 nt
Filed under: uncultured bacterium
Lineage: Bacteria
Description: partial 16S ribosomal RNA
Rfam family: Bacterial small subunit ribosomal RNA
Source: RNAcentral